UACGAAGGAUCCAAGCGUUAUCCGGAUUCACUGGGUUUAAAGGGUGCGUAGGAGGACUGGUAAGUCAGUGGUGAAAUCCCCGAGCUUAACUUGGGAACUGCCGUUGAUACUAUCAGUCUUGAAUACCGUGGAGGUGAGCGGAAUAUGUCAUGUAGCGGUGAAAUGCUUAGAUAUGACAUAGAACACCAAUUGCGAAGGCAGCUCGCUACACGAAUAUUGACUCUGAGGCACGAAAGCGUGGGGAUCAAACAGG
This 253-nucleotide ribosomal RNA is filed under the name uncultured bacterium. RNAcentral's name for it is "partial 16S ribosomal RNA". It matches the Rfam family "Bacterial small subunit ribosomal RNA", at positions 524 to 776 of the family's 1533-position model. The record is from RNAcentral.